Long non-coding RNA from Canis lupus familiaris (dog), 556 nucleotides. RefSeq lists it as uncharacterized. The record is from RefSeq and is a predicted model, not a curated record. The transcript has 3 exons. NCBI's taxonomy places the organism in Eukaryota, Metazoa, Chordata, Mammalia, Carnivora, Canidae.
AAUAUAGUUGAAAAAAGAAAUUAAACAAAACAAAGCAAAACAAACAAACAAAAAAAAAAAACAAGACAACGGCACAGUGGCUCUACAAGUCUAGACUUCGAGAAAGAUUCGCUCAAGCAUGAAGGCGUUCAAGAAGAAUUUAACCAGGCAGGGCUGGGCAAAAAUGCACAUGAAUGCUCAACAAGAAGCCUGAAUUGUUGUAAUUUAAUUCUGCAGAAAUUUCAGGUGUGACGGGCAGCCAGACCAAAAAGAGGCAGCAGACUGGAGGAGGCCUUGUCUGGUAAACCUAGAGAUUUCCAGUUUGUGUGAAAUGUGACACAUCGUGUUUUACGGGGACCAAAAAAGAAAUUCCUGCCUUUCUUAUGUCUGAAUGACUUAACGAUCCCGCCUGACGUUCUAGUCCUCUUCUCCCAGGCCAAACAGUGAGGAUGAAUGCAGAGCUGAUUCUAAAUAAGAAACUGACUUAGGGGGCAGCCUGGGUGGCUCAGCAGUUUAGCGCCUACCUUUGGCCCAAGGCGUGAACCUGGAGUCCCGGGAUGGAGUCCCUCGUCGCGGU